This 1010-nucleotide ribosomal RNA is filed under the name Escherichia coli. RNAcentral describes it as "partial 23S ribosomal RNA". It matches the Rfam family "Bacterial large subunit ribosomal RNA", at positions 418 to 1428 of the family's 2925-position model. The record is from RNAcentral. Lineage: Bacteria; Pseudomonadati; Pseudomonadota; Gammaproteobacteria; Enterobacterales; Enterobacteriaceae.
CGGGACACGUGGUAUCCUGUCUGAAUAUGGGGGGACCAUCCUCCAAGGCUAAAUACUCCUGACUGACCGAUAGUGAACCAGUACCGUGAGGGAAAGGCGAAAAGAACCCCGGCGAGGGGAGUGAAAAAGAACCUGAAACCGUGUACGUACAAGCAGUGGGAGCCUCUUAAUGGGGUGACUGCGUACCUUUUGUAUAAUGGGUCAGCGACUUAUAUUCUGUAGCAAGGUUAACCGAAUAGGGGAGCCGAAGGGAAACCGAGUCUUAACUGGGCGUUAAGUUGCAGGGUAUAGACCCGAAACCCGGUGAUCUAGCCAUGGGCAGGUUGAAGGUUGGGUAACACUAACUGGAGGACCGAACCGACUAAUGUUGAAAAAUUAGCGGAUGACUUGUGGCUGGGGGUGAAAGGCCAAUCAAACCGGGAGAUAGCUGGUUCUCCCCGAAAGCUAUUUAGGUAGCGCCUCGUGAAUUCAUCUCCGGGGGUAGAGCACUGUUUCGGCAAGGGGGUCAUCCCGACUUACCAACCCGAUGCAAACUGCGAAUACCGGAGAAUGUUAUCACGGGAGACACACGGCGGGUGCUAACGUCCGUCGUGAAGAGGGAAACAACCCAGACCGCCAGCUAAGGUCCCAAAGUCAUGGUUAAGUGGGAAACGAUGUGGGAAGGCCCAGACAGCCAGGAUGUUGGCUUAGAAGCAGCCAUCAUUUAAAGAAAGCGUAAUAGCUCACUGGUCGAGUCGGCCUGCGCGGAAGAUGUAACGGGGCUAAACCAUGCACCGAAGCUGCGGCAGCGACGUUUAUGCGUUGUUGGGUAGGGGAGCGUUCUGUAAGCCUGCGAAGGUGUACUGUGAGGUAUGCUGGAGGUAUCAGAAGUGCGAAUGCUGACAUAAGUAACGAUAAAGCGGGUGAAAAGCCCGCUCGCCGGAAGACCAAGGGUUCCUGUCCAACGUUAAUCGGGGCAGGGUGAGUCGACCCCUAAGGCGAGGCCGAAAGGCGUAGUCGAUGGGAAACAG